AAAAUAAAGGCAACAGUAGUAUACCGCUGUUCAAAACUCAUAAAUCCAUGGACAAAAAAACAAAAUCGGGGUAACAAACUAAAACCGAGGGAAACGCAUUAAAUAUAAGAGGAGAACAACGACAUAACACCGAAACGUAACACACACAGAAACGGACCAAGCAUCAGACAAAACACCACGAGAAUAACAAAUAUAACAUGAAAACCAAAUACAUGAAUUUGGGAUAGACAAGUACCGUGCCACGUCUUAUCUCAAUUUCUCAAAAAUAAGAGAAAACACAAACGACUCAACGUUAAAAUGCAACACACACAGAAACUAACAAUAAUAUAACAAUGGCCAUCUUCCUGACUUGGUACAGGACACUUUUCAAGGGGAAUAAAAGUGGUGGGUUGAACCUGGUUUUGUGGCAUGCCAAACCUCGCACUUUAAUGGCAAAGUUAAAUAUAACAUUGAAAUGACAACAUAAUAUUACAGGACUACAAUACAAAUUAAUAG
This 495-nucleotide long non-coding RNA is filed under the name Mytilus galloprovincialis (Mediterranean mussel). Lineage: Eukaryota; Metazoa; Mollusca; Bivalvia; Mytilida; Mytilidae. The record is from RNAcentral.